GACGAACGCUGGCGGCGUGCUUAACACAUGCAAGUCGAACGGAAAGGCCCUGCUUUUGUGGGGUGCUCGAGUGGCGAACGGGUGAGUAACACACGAGUAACCUGCCCUUGACUUUGGGAUAACUUCAGGAAACUGGGGCUAAUACCGGAUAGGAGCUCCUGCUGCAUGGUGGGGGUUGGAAAGUUUCGGCGGUUGGGGAUGGACUCGCGGCUUAUCAGCUUGUUGGUGGGGUAGUGGCUUACCAAGGCUUUGACGGGUAGCCGGCCUGAGAGGGUGACCGGCCACAUUGGGACUGAGAUACGGCCCAGACUCCUACGGGAGGCAGCAGUGGGGAAUAUUGCACAAUGGGCGGAAGCCUGAUGCAGCAACGCCGCGUGCGGGAUGACGGCCUUCGGGUUGUAAACCGCUUUCGCCUGUGACGAAGCGUGAGUGACGGUAAUGGGUAAAGAAGCACCGGCUAACUACGUG
This 468-nucleotide ribosomal RNA is filed under the name uncultured bacterium. RNAcentral describes it as "partial 16S ribosomal RNA". It matches the Rfam family "Bacterial small subunit ribosomal RNA", at positions 28 to 507 of the family's 1533-position model. The record is from RNAcentral.